RNAcentral lists this long non-coding RNA (1192 nucleotides) under Homo sapiens (human). Its description in RNAcentral is "non-protein coding lnc-ATG10-7:1". Lineage: Eukaryota; Metazoa; Chordata; Mammalia; Primates; Hominidae. The record is from RNAcentral.
ACUGGAGAGAAGGCGCCGGGAGGAGGAGAAACUGCGGCCUGGAGUCUCCGGCCGGAGCCGGCGGAGCUGGAGCCGUGGCGGCCCCAGACUUCGGGGCGCCCGCCGAGUCCACGACAGAGCCACGGCCUCAGCCGCCCUGGGGCCCCCACCAGCCCCUCUCCCGCUCCUCUCCUAUGCGUGACCCCGCGCCGGUACCCACGAUUGAUUUUUGCGGUCCUCAGCCCUACUCCCUGGGGUGUCGCCCCCGCCCUGUUCCCAGAGGGCCGGCUGGCGAGGGACACCCGCGCGGUUCCCUCGACCUUCUGGCUGAGCGACCGACAGCGACUCGCCUUCUCUCCUGGGGAAAGGCUGCACCUCCGGCCCUCGGCGCCGCUGCGGUGGCGGCGCCCGGGGCCGCGCCCUGCGCCCCAGGGGAGCACCCGGCCUGGGGUCGGCCUCCUCUGUAAGAGGUGAGCGGACCUCCCGAGGAGGCCCGGUGACUCCUGCGGCCGCAGCGGCCCCUGCCCCAACCCCUUCUUGCACGGAGCCCCGCGGCGCCCUGGACACCCCGCCAGAUCUGCCGCAGAAGAGGGCCCCAGGCUUCCCCACCCGGCCUGGUUUAACAGUUUGGGUCAGUGAUGCCUAUUCAUCCUGACCCCUGGAGUGGAAAAGGCCAGAAAAGGUCUUGAAAGACUUCCCUGUCCUUGCCCGUUAGAAUAGGCCCCAGCGCGCUCCAAGGUGUACAAAGCUGUGCCAGGGCUGAAAGGCUGCCCGAGAAUGUUUCUGUAUCCAAAUCCCUAAUCCCAUUUCAGUAAACGCGCAAAAGUUUCAGAAACACACACAAUCUGGUUCCCAGUAGAACUCUGCAUCAUUUAUCUUAUUGAAGUCCUUGACUGUAAAAUCAGACGGGUGCAAAUGGGGUUAGAAAGAAGAUGGGCUUCACACGGGGAAGAAGGGGACAGAUGGGGUGGGACAGGGCGACAUCUGGAAAGGAUGAAUAGACAAGAAGUAGCUAUGGGAGGAGAGGGAAAUCGGAUUCGCGUGGAGGAAGGUACCGUUCUAUUCCACACACACACAGCUUUAAGCAUUUAGUAGGAGGAUCAUAAAAUGCAUAUGGAGAUAUACAGAUAGAUGGAAAGGAAAGAAAUGGGUGUGAGCAUUGACAGAAGUGAUAGGAAUAAAACAUCAACAGAUGAUUAAGGAAGGGCAGUUA